Molecule: long non-coding RNA, 655 nt
Organism: Xenia sp. Carnegie-2017
Lineage: Eukaryota; Metazoa; Cnidaria; Anthozoa; Malacalcyonacea; Xeniidae
Exons: 2
Source: RefSeq, a predicted model, not a curated record
GUCAUAUUCUCUAGUUUUUUGAAACGACAGAGCCGCGUGGUGACUUUCUAACACCGCGAUAUCGUUAUACAAGACAGCCAAACGGUCUGAAGCGUUACAUAGAAAGGAGUUUGUAAAACCAGGAUGAUCUAUAUCGUGAACUGUCGCAGCAAUUAAUGCAGCUAUUUCGUCCAUUGGCUCGAGAGUGUUCUAAAAUAGCUCAAUAAUGUUGUAGUCCCAUAACGACUCUCCUUCAAGAGCUUCAAGAAUCUCGGCCGGAGCUUCCGUGAGAUGAAGUAAAGUGUUAUGACCAGGAAAAUGUGCUGAAUCAGACCGAUGGCCUGAAUAAAAUAUGUCUAGGUGAGAUUCAAUGGUAUUUUUUCAAGUAUUAAAAUAAAAUGAUUACCUGUGACCAGUGCCCCACCAGAGGGUCUGCGAUUUGCCUAAGAUGGAAUGUAUAAUAAGUGUACAAUAUAAAGAUAUCAUAAAUAUAUAGCCUCAGUAAGUUAUUUUAACUUACAACUAAGCCUUCAUAAGGUGAUACAUCAUCAUCUAGUGUCUCAUUUCCAAUUGAAUAGAGUUCUUUUGUCUGCAGUAUUUCCUGGAUAAGAAAAAGUAGUAUUUAACAAAUGUUGCUAGUGGUAAAAAAAAAUUACAACUGUUCCUUUAAACUACA